CACUCCUGCGGGAGGCAGCAGUGGGGAAUAUUGGACAAUGGGCGCAAGCCUGAUCCAGCCAUGCCGCGUGAGUGAUGAAGGCCCUAGGGUUGUAAAGCUCUUUCACCGGUGAAGAUAAUGACGGUAACCGGAGAAGAAGCCCCGGCUAACUUCGUGCCAGCAGCCGCGGUAAUACGAAGGGGGCUAGCGUUGUUCGGAUUUACUGGGCGUAAAGCGCACGUAGGCGGACUAUUAAGUCAGGGGUGAAAUCCCGGGGCUCAACCCCGGAACUGCCUUUGAUACUGGUAGUCUUGAGUUCGAGAGAGGUGAGUGGAAUUCCGAGUGUAGAGGGGAAAUUCGUAGAUAUUCGGAGGAACACCAGUGGCGAAGGCGGCUCACUGGCUCGAUACUGACGCUGAGGUGCGAAAGCGUGGGGAGCAAACAGGAUUAGAUACCCCAGUAGUCCCAUG
RNAcentral lists this ribosomal RNA (449 nucleotides) under uncultured organism. Its description in RNAcentral is "partial 16S ribosomal RNA". It matches the Rfam family "Bacterial small subunit ribosomal RNA", at positions 334 to 799 of the family's 1533-position model. The record is from RNAcentral.